CCUCUUAGCGGGGGAUAACUAUUGGAAACGAUAGCUAAUACCGCAUAAAAGUCGAUAUCGCAUGAUAUUGACUUGAAAGGUGCAAUUGCAUCACUAAGAGAUGGACCUGCGUUGUAUUAGCUAGUUGGUGAGGUAACGGCUCGCCAAGGCGACGAUACAUAGCCGACCUGAGAGGGUGAUCGGCCACACUGGGACUGAGACACGGCCCAG
This 210-nucleotide ribosomal RNA is filed under the name uncultured bacterium. RNAcentral's name for it is "partial 16S ribosomal RNA". It matches the Rfam family "Bacterial small subunit ribosomal RNA", at positions 129 to 334 of the family's 1533-position model. The record is from RNAcentral.